GACAAACGCUGGCGGAAUGUAUUAGGCAUGCAAGUCGUACGAACCUUCGGGUUAGUGGCGAACGGGUGAGUAACACGUGGGUAACCUGCCUCAUAGUGGGGAAUAACUCGCCGAAAGGCGAGCUAAUACCGCAUAACACCCUCGGUGAGAAUCCGAGUGGUAAAAGCUCCGGCGCUAUGAGAGGGGCCCGCGGCCGAUUAGCUAGUUGGUGGGGUAACGGCCUACCAAGGCGACGAUCGGUAGCUGGUCUGAGAGGAUGGUCAGCCACACGGGGACUGAGAUACGGCCCCGACUCCUACGGGAGGCAGCAGCUAAGAAUCUUGCGCAAUGGGCGAAAGCCUGACGCAGCAAUUCCGCGUGGGGGACGAAGGCCCUCGGGUCGUAAACCCCUUUUGUGAGGGAAGAAGUUCUGACGGUACCUCACGAAUAAGACACGGCUAACUACGUG
Molecule: ribosomal RNA, 448 nt
Filed under: uncultured bacterium
Lineage: Bacteria
Description: bacterial SSU rRNA
Rfam family: Bacterial small subunit ribosomal RNA
Source: RNAcentral